AGGGUCUGGGAAGUAACGAUUUAGGAAAUAAAUACCUGGGGGUCGGGGCGGGUUAUUUGCCUUCGGAUCGGUCGGGUGGCAAGACUUCAAUGGGUGGGUUAAUAUGAACCAAUGAGAGAAUGCCACGUGUUUAAAAAAAUUGAGGAAAUAAAUUUUAACGGUGGAAGGGUAAAUGUGGCCCAAAAGUGUAACGGUGGGGGUAUAUUUGUUAAAGAAUGCAGACGGAGGGUAAAUGUAGCUUAUUUUGAAUAGUACAAGGGCAAAUCUGACCCUUAACCAUUGUUUUUUUGUUGAAAGUAUCAGUGUCAUUACUUAUAGUGGCAUCAAAGUUAGAAACGUUUGUAAAAC
RNAcentral lists this long non-coding RNA (348 nucleotides) under Nicotiana benthamiana. RNAcentral describes it as "long non-coding RNA (NBEN_LNC038548)". Lineage: Eukaryota; Viridiplantae; Streptophyta; Magnoliopsida; Solanales; Solanaceae. The record is from RNAcentral.